Molecule: transfer RNA, 74 nt
Filed under: Triticum aestivum (bread wheat)
Lineage: Eukaryota; Viridiplantae; Streptophyta; Magnoliopsida; Poales; Poaceae
Also listed under: 1 other name
Rfam family: tRNA
About the family: Transfer RNA (tRNA) molecules are approximately 80 nucleotides in length. Their secondary structure includes four short double-helical elements and three loops (D, anti-codon, and T loops).
Source: Rfam by way of RNAcentral
GCAUCCAUGGCUGAAUGGUUAAAGCGCCCAACUCAUAAUUGGUAAAUUUGCGGGUUCAAUCCCUUCUGGAUGCA